UUAAGCGACUAAGCGUACACGGUGGAUGCCCUGGCAGUCAGAGGCGAUGAAGGACGUGCUAAUCUGCGAUAAGCGUCGGUAAGGUGAUAUGAACCGUUAUAACCGGCGAUUUCCGAAUGGGGAAACCCAGUGUGUUUCGACACACUAUCAUUAACUGAAUCCAUAGGUUAAUGAGGCGAACCGGGGGAACUGAAACAUCUAAGUACCCCGAGGAAAAGAAAUCAACCGAGAUUCCCCCAGUAGCGGCGAGCGAACGGGGAGGAGCCCAGAGCCUGAAUCAGUGUGUGUGUUAGUGGAAGCGUCUGGAAAGGCGUGCGAUACAGGGUGACAGCCCCGUACACAAAAAUGCACAUACUGUGAGCUCGAUGAGUAGGGCGGGACACGUGGUAUCCUGUCUGAAUAUGGGGGGACCAUCCUCCAAGGCUAAAUACUCCUGACUGACCGAUAGUGAACCAGUACCGUGAGGGAAAGGCGAAAAGAACCCCGGCGAGGGGAGUGAAAAAGAACCUGAAACCGUGUACGUACAAGCAGUGGGAGCCUCUUUAUGGGGUGACUGCGUACCUUUUGUAUAAUGGGUCAGCGACUUAUAUUCUGUAGCAAGGUUAACCGAAUAGGGGAGCCGAAGGGAAACCGAGUCUUAACUGGGCGUUAAGUUGCAGGGUAUAGACCCGAAACCCGGUGAUCUAGCCAUGGGCAGGUUGAAGGUUGGGUAACACUAACUGGAGGACCGAACCGACUAAUGUUGAAAAAUUAGCGGAUGACUUGUGGCUGGGGGUGAAAGGCCAAUCAAACCGGGAGAUAGCUGGUUCUCCCCGAAAGCUAUUUAGGUAGCGCCUCGUGAAUUCAUCUCCGGGGGUAGAGCACUGUUUCGGCAAGGGGGUCAUCCCGACUUACCAACCCGAUGCAAACUGCGAAUACCGGAGAAUGUUAUCACGGGAGACACACGGCGGGUGCUAACGUCCGUCGUGAAGAGGGAAACAACCCAGACCGCCAGCUAAGGUCCCAAAGUCAUGGUUAAGUGGGAAACGAUGUGGGAAGGCCCAGACAGCCAGGAUGUUGGCUUAGAAGCAGCCAUCAUUUAAAGAAAGCGUAAUAGCUCACUGGUCGAGUCGGCCUGCGCGGAAGAUGUAACGGGGCUAAACCAUGCACCGAAGCUGCGGCAGCGACACUAUGUGUUGUUGGGUAGGGGAGCGUUCUGUAAGCCUGCGAAGGUGUACUGUGAGGUAUGCUGGAGGUAUCAGAAGUGCGAAUGCUGACAUAAGUAACGAUAAAGCGGGUGAAAAGCCCGCUCGCCGGAAGACCAAGGGUUCCUGUCCAACGUUAAUCGGGGCAGGGUGAGUCGACCCCUAAGGCGAGGCCGAAAGGCGUAGUCGAUGGGAAACAGGUUAAUAUUCCUGUACUUGGUGUUACUGCGAAGGGGGGACGGAGAAGGCUAUGUUGGCCGGGCGACGGUUGUCCCGGUUUAAGCGUGUAGGCUGGUUUUCCAGGCAAAUCCGGAAAAUCAAGGCUGAGGCGUGAUGACGAGGCACUACGGUGCUGAAGCAACAAAUGCCCUGCUUCCAGGAAAAGCCUCUAAGCAUCAGGUAACAUCAAAUCGUACCCCAAACCGACACAGGUGGUCAGGUAGAGAAUACCAAGGCGCUUGAGAGAACUCGGGUGAAGGAACUAGGCAAAAUGGUGCCGUAACUUCGGGAGAAGGCACGCUGAUACGUAGGUGAAGUCCCUUGCGGAUGGAGCUGAAAUCAGUCGAAGAUACCAGCUGGCUGCAACUGUUUAUUAAAAACACAGCACUGUGCAAACACGAAAGUGGACGUAUACGGUGUGACGCCUGCCCGGUGCCGGAAGGUUAAUUGAUGGGGUUAGCGGUAACGCGAAGCUCUUGAUCGAAGCCCCGGUAAACGGCGGCCGUAACUAUAACGGUCCUAAGGUAGCGAAAUUCCUUGUCGGGUAAGUUCCGACCUGCACGAAUGGCGUAAUGAUGGCCAGGCUGUCUCCACCCGAGACUCAGUGAAAUUGAACUCGCUGUGAAGAUGCAGUGUACCCGCGGCAAGACGGAAAGACCCCGUGAACCUUUACUAUAGCUUGACACUGAACAUUGAGCCUUGAUGUGUAGGAUAGGUGGGAGGCUUUGAAGUGUGGACGCCAGUCUGCAUGGAGCCGACCUUGAAAUACCACCCUUUAAUGUUUGAUGUUCUAACGUUGGCCCCUGAUCGGGGUUGCGGACAGUGUCUGGUGGGUAGUUUGACUGGGGCGGUCUCCUCCUAAAGAGUAACGGAGGAGCACGAAGGUUGGCUAAUCCUGGUCGGACAUCAGGAGGUUAGUGCAAUGGCAUAAGCCAGCUUGACUGCGAGCGUGACGGCGCGAGCAGGUGCGAAAGCAGGUCAUAGUGAUCCGGUGGUUCUGAAUGGAAGGGCCAUCGCUCAACGGAUAAAAGGUACUCCGGGGAUAACAGGCUGAUACCGCCCAAGAGUUCAUAUCGACGGCGGUGUUUGGCACCUCGAUGUCGGCUCAUCACAUCCUGGGGCUGAAGUAGGUCCCAAGGGUAUGGCUGUUCGCCAUUUAAAGUGGUACGCGAGCUGGGUUUAGAACGUCGUGAGACAGUUCGGUCCCUAUCUGCCGUGGGCGCUGGAGAACUGAGGGGGGCUGCUCCUAGUACGAGAGGACCGGAGUGGACGCAUCACUGGUGUUCGGGUUGUCAUGCCAAUGGCACUGCCCGGUAGCUAAAUGCGGAAGAGAUAAGUGCUGAAAGCAUCUAAGCACGAAACUUGCCCCGAGAUGAGUUCUCCCUGACUCCUUGAGAGUCCUGAAGGAACGUUGAAGACGACGACGUUGAUAGGCCGGGUGUGUAAGCGCAGCGAUGCGUUGAGCUAACCGGUACUAAUGAACCGUGAGGCUUAACCUU
Molecule: ribosomal RNA, 2902 nt
Filed under: Escherichia coli
Lineage: Bacteria; Pseudomonadati; Pseudomonadota; Gammaproteobacteria; Enterobacterales; Enterobacteriaceae
Description: 23S ribosomal RNA
Rfam family: Bacterial large subunit ribosomal RNA
Source: RNAcentral